Molecule: ribosomal RNA, 253 nt
Filed under: uncultured bacterium
Lineage: Bacteria
Description: partial 16S ribosomal RNA
Rfam family: Bacterial small subunit ribosomal RNA
Source: RNAcentral
UACGUAGGGGGCAAGCGUUGUCCGGAUUUAUUGGGCGUAAAGAGCGUGUAGGCGGCUAGGUAGGUCCGUUGUGAAAACUCGAGGCUCAACCUCGAGACGCCGAUGGAAACCAUCUAGCUAGAGUCCGGAAGAGGAGAGUGGAAUUCCUGGUGUAGCGGUGAAAUGCGCAGAUAUCAGGAGGAACACCAAUGGCGAAGGCAGCUCGCUGGGACGUGACUGACGCUGAGACGCGAAAGCGUGGGGAGCAAACAGG